GAUGAACGCUGGCGGCGUGCCUAAUACAUGCAAGUCGAGCGAACAGACGAGGAGCUUGCUUCUCUGACGUUAGCGGCGGACGGGUGAGUAACACGUGGAUAACCUACCUAUAAGACUGGGAUAACUUCGGGAAACCGGAGCUAAUACCGGAUAAUAUAUUGAACCGCAUGGUUCAAUAGUGAAAGACGGUUUUGCUGUCACUUAUAGAUGGAUCCGCGCCGCAUUAGCUAGUUGGUAAGGUAACGGCUUACCAAGGCAACGAUGCGUAGCCGACCUGAGAGGAUGAUCGGCCACACUGGAACUGAGACACGGUCCAGACUCCUACGGGAGGCAGCAGUAGGGAAUCUUGCGCAAUGGGCGAAAGCCUGACGGAGCAACGCCGCGUGAGUGAUGAAGGUCUUCGGAUCGUAAAGCUCUGUUAUUAGGGAAGAACAAAUGUGUAAGAAACUAUGCACGUCUUGACGGUACCUGAUCAGAAAGCCACGGCUAACUACGUG
Molecule: ribosomal RNA, 497 nt
Filed under: uncultured bacterium
Lineage: Bacteria
Description: partial 16S ribosomal RNA
Rfam family: Bacterial small subunit ribosomal RNA
Source: RNAcentral